This 1035-nucleotide long non-coding RNA is filed under the name Brassica napus (rape). RNAcentral's name for it is "long non-coding RNA (BNAP_LNC012029)". The record is from RNAcentral. Lineage: Eukaryota; Viridiplantae; Streptophyta; Magnoliopsida; Brassicales; Brassicaceae.
GGACACUUUAACCGACAAACAAAAUAAACAAAGUGACAUUUCUCAAAAAAAUCUCUAUGCACCUCUUUCUUACCCAUCAAAAAUCAUUCAGAGGGGGAGAGAUUAAUUAGAGGCUUUUUUGUUUGUAUUAUAUUCGAUCUUUGAUCGAUCUUUUUAUUCCAUUAAUGGACUUUUCGUUUCGAUCUCUAGAUCGAUCUUGCUUUUCCGGUUAGCAGAUUUCUCUUCCCUAAGAGAUUUUGGAGUGUCUCAAUCUCAAUUUCAAAGUGGAUCUUCAUGUUCUAUCUUUCUUUGAUUUGGGAUUGAUUAAUAAUCUAUCUAUCUAUUUUCACCUUCUCCUUUGGUUCUUAGUUUUUAAAUCCCGUUUGAUAUUGAGAAAGAAUUGUUUUUUCUCUGGUUAUUCUCGGGGCCGGAAUUUGAAAAGAAUCAAUCUUUGUCUUCUGAUAAAAUUGGCUGGUUGGCCUUUGGGCAGAGUAUCUGAUCAGAUCUGGUCCUUGAGUUAUUUGAUUUAGCAGGAGAAUUUUGGAAGAUUCAGUAGAGGUGAAGCUUUUCAUAUAGAAAAGUGUUUCAACGAAGUUUUUUUCCAGAAUUGUUCUCAGAAGCUUGUCACCGCUGUACACAUCUGGAGAAAAACAUGAAAUUUCUUAGUAUCUAUGAUUAUUGGAGGGGAAAGGUUACGCAAGUGGACUAAGCCGGUGAAUCCUUGCCAUGUUUCAGAAAUUUUUUUCUGCUUCUAGUCGGAGAAGAAGAGCGGCGAGAUUCUCCGGCAACUCCAAGCGGCGGCUCUCUUCUUGAUAUACUAAAACUGAACUUUUUUACUGUCAAGUUAACAGUGGUAAUUGUAGUAAUUAAGAUUCAAUCUAGAGAAGCAGUCUACACUCUAUUCUUAUGAGAUUUCAACUUAGCAAAAACUAAAAGUGGGGUUUUGAAUUAAGUGGUGACGUGCAAGUAAACUAAACGAUUUAAAAAGAUUCAAAUUCGAUAUUAAAGAUAAACCGAUCUAAGAUUUCUUAUCGGGUGUCAAAACUCAGCCAAUCA